RNAcentral lists this ribosomal RNA (1372 nucleotides) under uncultured bacterium. RNAcentral's name for it is "bacterial SSU rRNA". It matches the Rfam family "Bacterial small subunit ribosomal RNA", at positions 28 to 1381 of the family's 1533-position model. The record is from RNAcentral.
GAUGAACGCUGGCGGCGUGCCUAAUACAUGCAAGUCGAGCGAACAGAUAAGGAGCUUGCUCCUUUGACGUUAGCGGCGGACGGGUGAGUAACACGUGGGUAACCUACCUAUAAGACUGGGAUAACUUCGGGAAACCGGAGCUGAUACCGGAUAAUAUUUCGAACCGCAUGGUUCGAUAGUGAAAGAUGGUUUUGCUAUCACUUAUAGAUGGACCCGCGCCGUAUUAGCUAGUUGGUAAGGUAACGGCUUACCAAGGCGACGAUACGUAGCCGACCUGAGAGGGUGAUCGGCCACACUGGAACUGAGACACGGUCCAGACUCCUACGGGAGGCAGCAGUAGGGAAUCUUCCGCAAUGGGCGAAAGCCUGACGGAGCAACGCCGCGUGAGUGAUGAAGGUCUUCGGAUCGUAAAACUCUGUUAUUAGGGAAGAACAUACGUGUAAGUAACUGUGCACGUCUUGACGGUACCUAAUCAGAAAGCCACGGCUAACUACGUGCCAGCAGCCGCGGUAAUACGUAGGUGGCAAGCGUUAUCCGGAAUUAUUGGGCGUAAAGCGCGCGUAGGCGGUUUUUUAAGUCUGAUGUGAAAGCCCACGGCUCAACCGUGGAGGGUCAUUGGAAACUGGAAAACUUGAGUGCAGAAGAGGAAAGUGGAAUUCCAUGUGUAGCGGUGAAAUGCGCAGAGAUAUGGAGGAACACCAGUGGCGAAGGCGACUUUCUGGUCUGCAACUGACGCUGAUGUGCGAAAGCGUGGGGAUCAAACAGGAUUAGAUACCCUGGUAGUCCACGCCGUAAACGAUGAGUGCUAAGUGUUAAGGGGUUUCCGCCCCUUAGUGCUGCAGCUAACGCAUUAAGCACUCCGCCUGGGGAGUACGACCGCAAGGUUGAAACUCAAAGGAAUUGACGGGGACCCGCACAAGCGGUGGAGCAUGUGGUUUAAUUCGAAGCAACGCGAAGAACCUUACCAAAUCUUGACAUCCUUUGACAACUCUAGAGAUAGAGCUUUCCCCUUCGGGGGACAAAGUGACAGGUGGUGCAUGGUUGUCGUCAGCUCGUGUCGUGAGAUGUUGGGUUAAGUCCCGCAACGAGCGCAACCCUUAAGCUUAGUUGCCAUCAUUAAGUUGGGCACUCUAAGUUGACUGCCGGUGACAAACCGGAGGAAGGUGGGGAUGACGUCAAAUCAUCAUGCCCCUUAUGAUUUGGGCUACACACGUGCUACAAUGGACAAUACAAAGGGCAGCGAAACCGCGAGGUCAAGCAAAUCACAUAAAGUUGUUCUCAGUUCGGAUUGUAGUCUGCAACUCGACUACAUGAAGCUGGAAUCGCUAGUAAUCGUAGAUCAGCAUGCUACGGUGAAUACGUUCCCGGGUCU